RNAcentral lists this ribosomal RNA (578 nucleotides) under Streptomyces sp. RDB-165. RNAcentral describes it as "bacterial SSU rRNA". It matches the Rfam family "Bacterial small subunit ribosomal RNA", at positions 102 to 694 of the family's 1533-position model. RNAcentral also lists the same sequence under 1 other name. The record is from RNAcentral. Lineage: Bacteria; Bacillati; Actinomycetota; Actinomycetes; Kitasatosporales; Streptomycetaceae.
ACGGGUGAGUAACACGUGGGCAAUCUGCCCUUCACUCUGGGACAAGCCCUGGAAACGGGGUCUAAUACCGGAUAUCACUUCCACUCGCAUGGGUGGGGGUUGAAAGCUCCGGCGGUGAAGGAUGAGCCCGCGGCCUAUCAGCUUGUUGGUGAGGUAAUGGCUCACCAAGGCGACGACGGGUAGCCGGCCUGAGAGGGCGACCGGCCACACUGGGACUGAGACACGGCCCAGACUCCUACGGGAGGCAGCAGUGGGGAAUAUUGCACAAUGGGCGAAAGCCUGAUGCAGCGACGCCGCGUGAGGGAUGACGGCCUUCGGGUUGUAAACCUCUUUCAGCAGGGAAGAAGCGAGAGUGACGGUACCUGCAGAAGAAGCGCCGGCUAACUACGUGCCAGCAGCCGCGGUAAUACGUAGGGCGCAAGCGUUGUCCGGAAUUAUUGGGCGUAAAGAGCUCGUAGGCGGUCUGUCGCGUCGGAUGUGAAAGCCCGGGGCUUAACCCCGGGUCUGCAUUCGAUACGGGCAGACUAGAGUGUGGUAGGGGAGAUCGGAAUUCCUGGUGUAGCGGUGAAAUGCGCAGA